CGUCUGCUGUGAUGAACCACAUGUUCAGUCUGUGUUUCACCUGAUCUGCCCUGAUUACACACAUGCUCUGAGCAGACU
Molecule: small nucleolar RNA, 78 nt
Filed under: Pelusios castaneus (West African mud turtle)
Lineage: Eukaryota; Metazoa; Chordata; Testudines; Pelomedusidae
Description: Small nucleolar RNA SNORD126 (ENSPCEG00000004033.1)
Rfam family: Small nucleolar RNA SNORD126
Source: Rfam by way of RNAcentral